This 253-nucleotide ribosomal RNA is filed under the name uncultured bacterium. RNAcentral's name for it is "partial 16S ribosomal RNA". It matches the Rfam family "Bacterial small subunit ribosomal RNA", at positions 524 to 776 of the family's 1533-position model. The record is from RNAcentral.
UACAGAGGUCCCAAGCGUUGUUCGGAUUCACUGGGCGUAAAGGGUGCGUAGGCGGUCGGGUAAGUCUGUCGUGAAAUCUCCGAGCCUAACUCGGAAACUGCGUCGGAUACUAUUCGGCUAGAGGAAUGGAGGGGAGACUGGAAUUCUCGGUGUAGCAGUGAAAUGCGUAGAUAUCGAGAGGAACACCAGUGGCGAAGGCGAGUCUCUGGACAUUUCCUGACGCUGAGGAGCGAAAGCGUGGGGAGCGAACAGG